This 254-nucleotide ribosomal RNA is filed under the name uncultured bacterium. RNAcentral describes it as "partial 16S ribosomal RNA". It matches the Rfam family "Bacterial small subunit ribosomal RNA", at positions 524 to 776 of the family's 1533-position model. The record is from RNAcentral.
UACGUAGGGUGCGAGCGUUGUCCGGAAUUAUUGGGCGUAAAGAGCUCGUAGGCGGUGUGUCACGUCGGCCGUGAAAACCUGCAGCUUAACUGUGGGCGUGCGGUCGAUACGGGCAUCACUGGAGUUCGGCAGGGGAGACUGGAAUUCCUGGUGUAGCGGUGAAAUGCGCAGAUAUCAGGAGGAACACCGGUGGCGAAGGCGGAUCUCUGGGCCAUUACUGACGCUGAGGAGCGAAAGCGUGGGGAGCGAACAGG